Molecule: non-coding RNA, 108 nt
Organism: Tinamus guttatus (white-throated tinamou)
Lineage: Eukaryota; Metazoa; Chordata; Aves; Tinamiformes; Tinamidae
Source: RefSeq, a predicted model, not a curated record
AUUUCCCCUUUGGUAGGAGGCUGUUCAGUGUCAUUUCCAGUCAUUUCUCUUAGGCUCAUUAAAGCUGAAUGAAUGUUGGUGGUUUUUUCCUCUUAGUUAAAUAAUUAA